AUUGAACGCUGGCGGCAGGCUUAACACAUGCAAGUCGAGCGGGGGAAGGUAGCUUGCUACCGGACCUAGCGGCGGACGGGUGAGUAAUGCUUAGGAAUCUGCCUAUUAGUGGGGGACAACAUCUCGAAAGGGAUGCUAAUACCGCAUACGUCCUACGGGAGAAAGCAGGGGAUCUUCGGACCUUGCGCUAAUAGAUGAGCCUAAGUCGGAUUAGCUAGUUGGUGGGGUAAAGGCCUACCAAGGCGACGAUCUGUAGCGGGUCUGAGAGGAUGAUCCGCCACCCUGGGACUGAGACACGGCCCAGACUCCUACGGGAGGCAGAAGUGGGGAAUAUUGGACAAUGGGGGGAACCCUGAUCCAGCCAUGCCGCGUGUGUGAAGAAGGCCUUAUGGUUGUAAAGCACUUUAAGCGAGGAGGAGGCUACUUUAGUUAAUACCUAGAGAUAGUGGACGUUACUCGCAGAAUAAGCACCGGCUAACUCUGUGCCAGCCGCCGCAGUAA
RNAcentral lists this ribosomal RNA (501 nucleotides) under uncultured bacterium. RNAcentral's name for it is "partial 16S ribosomal RNA". It matches the Rfam family "Bacterial small subunit ribosomal RNA", at positions 30 to 523 of the family's 1533-position model. The record is from RNAcentral.